This is a long non-coding RNA of Sycon ciliatum, 615 nucleotides long. RefSeq lists it as uncharacterized. The transcript has 4 exons. NCBI's taxonomy places the organism in Eukaryota, Metazoa, Porifera, Calcarea, Leucosolenida, Sycettidae. The record is from RefSeq and is a predicted model, not a curated record.
AUUCUGGCAAAUGGCCUCUGUACCAGUGCUGAGAACUGUCGCUUAGAUUGUCCUGACGACACUCUUUCGUACAUGAGUUUUGCAGUUGAAAAUGGAAAAUUUGUCUCCAAAAAGUACACUGUCUAUGCGAACUUCUCUAAGCCCGUCGUUUUCGAAAACAAUCCAACUUUGAAGCCAAGAUGCGUAAGUGGUAACUUUGACGACCUCAGGUGCAUUGCUAUUCCAGGUACCAAUUAUGCACAACAACGGUGUGUUAGCCUUACAUGUAACCAAUUUCACGGUCCCCACUUCCAGCGCCCAACCCCAGAAACCGUUCUAACUGUUGAGUUCCUGCGGAACCAGGAGAAUGUCAUGGCCGACGUCAUCCGUCCAGAAUUUUACGUUGAUUCCCCCGGCUACAGUUUCGACUUCUCCCGCUGCGCCAUAAUCAAUGACGCUCAUGUACUCAUGCGACUGACAAGUUUCAAACCUCAAAAGAGCGUACGUAGGGUCAAGUUCACCUUGCAGGAGUCUGACGCAAUCAUAAAGCACCUUGCCAACUGCUCACGCAACACAACUUGCUCCAUGAACUGCACCAAAGAGUUUUACCAGCAUACAUCUACAGGAUUUUAUGAC